UGGGGAAUCUUGCGCAAUGGGCGAAAGCCUGACGGAGCGACACCGCGUGGAGGAUGAAGCCCUUCUUGGGCGUAAACUCCUGUUCUGAGGGACGAAAUUUUUGACGGUACCUCAGGAGAAAGUAUCGGCUAACCCUGUGCCAGCAGCCGCGGUAAGACAGGGGAUACAAGCAUUACUCGGAAUUACUGGGCGUAAAGCGUCUGUAGGCGACCAAGCAAGUCGGGGGUGAAAGUCCAAAGCUCAACUUUGUGAUUGCCCUGGAAACUGCUUGGAUUGAGCCACUGAGAGGCACCUGGAAUGCCAUGUGGAGGAGUAAAAUCCGUAGAGACAUGGUGGAACGCCAAAAGCGAAGGCAGGGUGCUAGCGGUCGGCUGACGCUGAGAGACGAAAGCGUGGGGAGCAAAGGGGAUUAGAUACCCAGGUAGUCCCUGAGCGGGCUGGCAAGGCGCAU
This 451-nucleotide ribosomal RNA is filed under the name uncultured bacterium. Its description in RNAcentral is "bacterial SSU rRNA". It matches the Rfam family "Bacterial small subunit ribosomal RNA", at positions 355 to 825 of the family's 1533-position model. The record is from RNAcentral.